UCUCUCGUCCUCCCAAAUCCCAGCGGCACCCCAAUGCACCAAAACCCUAACUUUCUCUCUCGUCCUUCCCCAAAUGCCAGUCCGCCACGCCUUCCCCCAGUCCGCCGCAUCUUCGGCCAUUUCGCUGCGCCCCCAGCUCCAGCCCUAGCUCUAGUUCAGCUAUGUUCCUGUCGUCUUAAGACUCAUCCUUCUCUCCAGAUUCAGCACGACGCUCCGACUUCAGCUCGUCAAAGGGCGACGAAUUAUUGCUGUCACUCUUUAUUUUAGCUUCAGCCGAAGCUUCUGCUGUUCCGAGAAAAAUUGGUAAUGGCUACCGCUUGAUUUCCAUCCAAGAGAACUCUCUGCCUCAGUCCUUCCAUCUCCUCGACAAAGCCUUGCAAUCCGGAAUCAAUUUCUUUGACUCCGCUGAAAUGUAUGGUUCCCGAAAGGGCUGCAUCGUCGUCACUUUUUUGAUUCGACGGAAGAAUCACCGCCCGUGCCAAACCGGCAACAGAACGAUAGAAAUCUGCUACCGCCGCCCUAGUGGUAAGGUUGCCGUCUGUCUUCCCCCUUCUCUCAACUCUGAGUUCGACUCGGUCUCGAGCUAAACCGUAAUGGCUCGGUCCUAAGUGAGUUUUGGUCAUUCAUAGUCAUUUUAGUACUGUAUUAUUUUAUAUCUGAGUUGCCUGAGCGAGUUUUGAUCAUUCAUAGUCAUUUUUAUGUGAUUUUUUGGGUGGAGUUUACGUUUAUGAUUAAUUGAGGUUUGAGAUUGUGAUCUACGGUUGAAGGUUGCAGUUGUUGAGAGUUGAGAUUAACAUCAAAAUCAAAUCUGCAGGAAGGCAAGAAUCCAUUGUAUUCUAUUUUGAGUCUUCAUUGUCAUAGAUGCUUCUAAUAGCUUUCUGGGUUGAGACUUUGGGUGUAGCUGAAGGUUUGUGGUGGAUUAAAUGAGUCGUACGCUGAGUUGAAGAGGCUUGUGAAUUCACAAGAAAAGUUGUACCAGAUGGCUAUCUAGUUGCAUAUUUAAUAUGUUUAGUAUUUUUGUAAGGCAUAAUAGUAUAGAUAAAGCAGUUGUUGAAUUUUGACUAUAUUCAAAUCUUGUAUGAAUUCUUUUUUAUGAUAAUAAUAUAAAAUUAAAUA
This is a long non-coding RNA of Salvia miltiorrhiza (redroot sage), 1116 nucleotides long. RefSeq lists it as uncharacterized. The transcript has 2 exons. Lineage: Eukaryota; Viridiplantae; Streptophyta; Magnoliopsida; Lamiales; Lamiaceae. The record is from RefSeq and is a predicted model, not a curated record.